UACGUAGGUGGCAAGCGUUGUCCGGAUUUACUGGGCGUAAAGGGAGCGUAGGUGGACUUUUAAGUGAGAUGUGAAAUACCCGAGCUCAACUUGGGUGCUGCAUUUCAAACUGGAAGUCUAGAGUGCAGGAGAGGAGAAGGGAAUUCCUAGUGUAGCGGUGAAAUGCGUAGAGAUUAGGAAGAACACCAGUGGCGAAGGCGCUUCUCUGGACUGUAACUGACGCUGAGGCUCGAAAGCGUGGGGAGCAAACAGG
RNAcentral lists this ribosomal RNA (253 nucleotides) under uncultured bacterium. Its description in RNAcentral is "partial 16S ribosomal RNA". It matches the Rfam family "Bacterial small subunit ribosomal RNA", at positions 524 to 776 of the family's 1533-position model. The record is from RNAcentral.